UAUGAAUGAGUAGAUAGGACACGCCCCUUUGAGCUGCGUGCUACAGCGAGGCUAAGCUAGUGGGGGCAAAGUUUCAGUGCAUUCCGUUGAUGUAGACAGCGUGAAAACGGAAACAACAAGUAUGCCGGCUCACUGUGCUGCAUACAAUUACACACUGCGUCGUACGAUUGAGACAAGGAAACUUGGAAUGACUUUUCAUAGGUUUCCCAGAGACUAUGGGUUGAGGAGGAAGUGGAAGUUUGUCGGCUUAGACCUGGUGUCAUUCCAUCAGUGUUAAACUUCCCGGCUCAUCUUGGAAGAGUACGUACCAGAAAGACCACGACCAAGCAGCCUUGAGAUCUGAGGCAGCGUCUCCCUGAGGUCCCUCUCUAUCUCCCCACACAUCCACCAACCACUGGAACACAUCUCCAAAGUUCUGCCGGGCCAGCUCAGCUUCCCCUCAGAAGAAGUGCCGCCACCUGCCAGAUGAAGGAGCCUUUUGAGAGGCAGCUGGCAUCGUGAUUGGACUGUACUUUGGUCUGUUCCAAUCCAGCUUCAGCUCCAGAGACGGCAGGCGGGACGAGUCAACGGAGGCCGGGUGGACGAAGGCAUGCAGCUGAGUACAAUCCAGAAAACAACAGAGGAGGAGUGCAGCUGCCCAGAGCCAGAACAACCAGAGUAGCAUGACCAAAGAACUACAGACUCUUCACAACCUGCUCAAACUCUUGGUACAGGACCUCACCACACGGGUCAAGAAGGUUUCUGUCUCAUUUCUACUCUGAAGAUCACCUUCUCCUGCUCAAACUGCUGACAAAUGUUUCUGCUGCUCUAAAGUCUGCUCUCCAGAACUUCCUAAAAACUCUCAAAGUCUCUUCUGCUGCAGGUUGCUUUGUAGAACUGUUGCAGAAACCUCUACUAAACCACAUGGAGGGGCCUCAAGAUAGUCGUCCAAAUGAAACCAUACAAAAACCAAACUAGCACAACCCAAACGCUAAAGUCUCCUGCAGCCUACCAGAGAACCUCUGAGAACAGAGAAUCAGGACAGGAACUCUUACCUUCUGGACAACCAACGCUGGUUCACAAACAAGAAUACAGAAUGUGUCUGACCAAAAACCUCUGAAGACUCACUACAGCCAAGAUAAAGACACAACUCAGCUG
Molecule: long non-coding RNA, 1137 nt
Organism: Amphiprion ocellaris (clown anemonefish)
Lineage: Eukaryota; Metazoa; Chordata; Actinopteri; Pomacentridae
Source: Ensembl